AAGUCGUAACAAGGUAACCGUAGGUGAACCUGCGGUUGGAUCAUUAUUGAAAUUAUAAUCCAAUCUUUUUUUCUCAUAACUUCUGUUAAAAGAAGGCUAUGAGAUUGAAGGAAACAUCAUCCGCCCCUUUGUGAACCCGGCACCGAGGCGAGCGUGAGCUUCAAGGGGCCCACGCGUACACCAAAUCGUCUCCCUGCCCAAACCAAACCUGUCUUUUAUUGCCUGUCUCCCCAGACUGAAGCAAAAAAAAAACAAAAACAUAUCUUACAACUUUUAACAAUGGAUAUCUUGGCUCGC
RNAcentral lists this unclassified non-coding RNA (297 nucleotides) under fungal sp. RNAcentral describes it as "partial internal transcribed spacer region". The stretch from base 1 to 46 matches the Rfam family "Eukaryotic small subunit ribosomal RNA", at positions 1786 to 1831 of the family's 1831-position model. Lineage: Eukaryota; Fungi. The record is from RNAcentral.